UGCGUAGGUGGCGCCGUAAGUCGGGUGUGAAAUUUCGGAGCUUAACUCCGAAACUGCAUUCGAUACUGCGGUGCUUGAGGACUGGAGAGGAGACUGGAAUUCAUGGUGUAGCAGUGAAAUGCGUAGAGAUCAUGAGGAAGACCAGUGGCGAAGGCGGGUCUCUGGACAGUUCCUGACACUGAGGCACGAAGGCCAGGGGAGCAAACGG
This 208-nucleotide ribosomal RNA is filed under the name uncultured bacterium. RNAcentral's name for it is "partial 16S ribosomal RNA". It matches the Rfam family "Bacterial small subunit ribosomal RNA", at positions 568 to 775 of the family's 1533-position model. The record is from RNAcentral.